This is a non-coding RNA of Cinara cedri, 266 nucleotides long. NCBI's taxonomy places the organism in Eukaryota, Metazoa, Arthropoda, Insecta, Hemiptera, Aphididae. The record is from the annotation of a GenBank genome assembly.
ACAACAAAAAAAAACACCCAAAAAUUACAAUUUCUUAAAGGCUCAAGAGUUUUAACAAUAAUACCGAAAGAAAGUAAAUAAAAAAGGCAACAAAAAGGGUAUCCUGUGAUUUUUCAAUAAAAUCAUUUUUUCUAGUAGAAAACGACGUCCGUGUUUUUAUAAAAUAAUGAAAUUAUGAAAUUGUACGUUUUCCUACGUUUUUUCCAUCUUAGAUAAGUGGUUUUAUUUAAAAAUGGCGUCGAAAAUCUAAAAUUAAUCUUUUAAAA